ACAUUGAAAAAUUUGAAUAAGAAAUAACUUGUGUGUAGAUGCAUGAAAUUUGAUAAAGGCUUAAGUCAUGUGUGGCCCCUUAAAGUUGUUUGUAUAAUUCAUUAGGCACUUUAACAAACAUUGUUUUCUAUUAGACACUCUAACCUUAACAAAUAAAUACCUAUUGAACAUUUUUCUGACACUCAAUCAAAAGAGAAAGUGCGUGUAAUACACAUGCACAUGAUGUGACAAAAUAGCAAACCAAAUAAAAACACGUGGCAUUUUAAUUGAAAAAAAUUAUCAAAAUAAAUUUUAAAUAUUAAUAAGUCAAAAUCUUUAAGAAAAGACUUUAAAUUUUUCUUUAAAAAAAAUAAAGAAAAGAAAGAAAUUAUACAACCCCCCUUCACCCACCCCGCACUCCACCCCAUACAAAUCUUUCCCUUUCUUUUCUUUCUAUAACAGCUCCACCUUCCACCUUCCACCAUUGUUAAUUCUCCAUUUAGAACAAAUAGAUAUUUAACAUAUAUUAGAUUUGGGAGGAAGAAGGGGCGUAGAUCAAGGUGGUUUGUGGCGGGAGAGGUGAAGAGGGAGUGAGAAGAUAUUUUAUUAAUGAUCUUCAUUUUUUCCGACAAAGAAGCUGUAGAUGAUUUCCAUUUUUUUUAUAAAUAAGGCAUCUUCAUUUUUUUGAUAAAAGAUUGUGAAUGGCAUUCUCCAUUCGGAAGUUGACAAUUAUUAGAAUAUUAAAAAAAGAAAAAGAAAACAUGAAAUUUGUAAAAGUAAAUAUAAAAUAAAAACUGACCAUGGAUUUGUAAAGCAAA
Molecule: long non-coding RNA, 797 nt
Organism: Solanum lycopersicum (tomato)
Lineage: Eukaryota; Viridiplantae; Streptophyta; Magnoliopsida; Solanales; Solanaceae
Source: RefSeq, a predicted model, not a curated record